ACACUGAACGAACCUUUGAACAAAUAUGAAUAGUCUCAUCCACACUUCUCCUUUUCCCCACCCAAACCAUCACCUGAAACAGUUUAAUUUUGUAACCAUGUGUUUAUUGUAACCUACUAUUCACAGAGACCAUCUGCAGUCAAUUAUUAUUCCCAAGAGGUCUCCCCUUGGCGUCACUCAUCUCUGUGGGCCUCUCCUCCUUUCUACCCGGAGCUGGUUAGUGCUCAGUCUGUGCAAAAUAACUUUGUAGUAUCUUAAGCAGAAAAGAAAAGUAAUCAUGCUGCAGAGAAUGAUAGACCUGCUUCUAAAACCACGUAUGAACUCAGUGGGGGUGCAUAGGGGAGCUACGCGGUCCGCAGAGUCUGCGUCGUCCAUUAACUCCACCCCCACGCAGGCUCCCGCGGCUCCGCCUCCAUUCCCAAACAUCGCUCACUGCCCUCCUGUUUCUGCCCUCCCGCCUUAGAAAAUCUCUUUAAAUCUUUGAUUUAAAGCAGGCGUCCAUUGCCACGCUCGGACCGCCUCAUGCUAGGUCGCAGUUGUCCCGGUAACAGCGUGUCUGAAGGAAGAGCCGGCUCUCCGGAGUUUCCACGGAAACCACUGGCGGCAGAAGCAGGCAACUUCUUUACUACUGAGCCACCUGGGAAGCCCUAAUGUCUGCAUGAAGAAAAAGUGGUUGAUUCUCCUGGAAUCCCAUAUGAACACAUUCCCCACUGUCAGUCUCUGCCACUAGCCCGGGACCAGCUUCAGAAGAGUGGGAUGUAAGGCGGGGUGCUGUGAGGUUCCUCUGAGGGUCUGACUCACACCACCAUGCAUCCCAGAAUUGUGGUCCAGCAAUUGGCUGUAGACUGUUCUCACAUGUUUGGAGAAGUUUGACUGUCCACGUACCAUUAAGAGUGAAGCUCUAAGACCUUUGAUUGCAGGCUUUGUGUGAUGGGUUUGGUAAUUGGCAGACCUUCUUUGAAGAAUGAUCUGGCAGUGAGCCAAGUUUUUCUUUGAGAGACUCCUAAAGGCAGUGUGGGAAGAAUUUUUCUUUAAUGGGAAUAUUUGGUUUCUUCUAUGACUACAUCUCCUAAGAAUACUUCUGCUUUGGAUAGAUACAAUUAAUUUCCACCAUUCUGAGAGCAAGAAAGAGAAUGGAAUCUGGAAUGCCUAUCAUUCAGUAUACAGACUUGGUUUUAAUCUUCAGCUUUCAGUUUGGUGUGCUCUGACCUCCCAGGAGUUGGUCUGGUAACCUCAAAUUAAAUACUCCUUGUGAAUAAUAAUUUUUUAACUUCUUCCCUAGCCGCAAGACUGGGUGUGUAUAGUGGAAUUAGCCAUAUAAUAAUAUUAAGAAUUUGGACUCUGUAGCCAGAAAGUUUGGGUUCAAAUCUUGGUUCCAAUGGUUACCAGCUAUGUGACCUCACUCAAGUUCCCUAAGUCCUGUAGUUCAUGACUCCAUGCUAAAGGUGAACAGUUCAAUGCCCAGGGAGGAAAAAGAACAUGUUGAAAUUUUAUUUCUCUUUAACCUGAAUUAUUGACUUUAUAUUUUUAAAAUGAUUUCUCUUAUACAACCAAACCAAUGAAAGCACAAAGGAAUACAAUUGCACACAUGAUCUUUCUGCAAAGAUGGUGUGGAGUUUCCCACUGAAGUAAAUCAUUGUUCACAGAAUUUGGCAAAAAGAAAAGGAAAAAGUCUCCAAACAAAUAGCCCAUUGAGAAAUACACCAUGACACGAGGAUGAUGCAAUGGCAAAUUGCAACAUGGGAAGAAGCCCUGAAUGAAAAUUUUGUGUUACAAAAGGAUCAAAAGCAGUCCAACAAAAUGGCAAGGAAACAAUAUUUAUUUUGAAACCUUACUCGUUUUUCAUAUGCAGAAUUUUUAACAAGUCGUUUGUUUCCAGUUCACCACUACACUCCGUACUUAGAAUUAUCAUGGGCAAGUCCUCAGCUGCUGAAUUGCUUUUGCCUCUGGGAAAGGUGUGACUGUGGGCUGCAGAGAACCUGACACGGAGCACAGCAAAAAUGGAAGCAGAGCACCUGCCCCCAGAGAGUGCAGGAGGGCAGAGACGCAGGCAGAUCCUGGCCAAACCCCCUAACACCACAAUCCAAGGAGGAGACAGGCCUGGGGUUCUGUCCCACAAUAAGCCUAGGCUGAGUGCUGAAAGUGGCCCUAAACCCCUCGACCUAGAAUUUCUCUUCUGCAGAUUUUCUGGCUCAGAACCACAGAAAAUAUGAAGGGUUUGAAUGAAAUCUAAAAUAUGAAAUCAUGUACCUUCUAAGGCUCAUUUGCCAAUUUUGUUGUCACUUACUUAAUUUUUGAUUUAUCUAUGGUGAUUAAAAAAACACAAAAAUAUAGUGAGCUGCUGCUGCUGCUAAGGUGCUACAGUCGUGUCCGACUCUGUGCGAC
Bos taurus (domestic cattle) is the source of this 2385-nucleotide long non-coding RNA. Lineage: Eukaryota; Metazoa; Chordata; Mammalia; Artiodactyla; Bovidae. The record is from Ensembl.